Molecule: long non-coding RNA, 276 nt
Organism: Suricata suricatta (meerkat)
Lineage: Eukaryota; Metazoa; Chordata; Mammalia; Carnivora; Herpestidae
Exons: 2
Source: RefSeq, a predicted model, not a curated record
GCCUCCUGAUGAUUGGUCAGAGGAGGUCAUAAGCUUCUGCCUGGGUUGACUGUGAAAAGAGAAACUGUAGAUGAAGGGGGCACCCACUGUCUUGAUUCCUGACAUUUCACAGUAUUUUCACUACCAUCAGACUCAAUGCACCAGGCACUAAAGCAAACUCUUCCAAGGAUCACCUACGUUGCAUGGCUGAUAGUUGCAUGAAGAUGACGAAUGUGAUCUUAUACAGCAUCUUCUUGGCAGUAUCUCUAAGAAACUCUUCUUACUUGUUUAUAAGAA